RNAcentral lists this ribosomal RNA (252 nucleotides) under uncultured bacterium. RNAcentral's name for it is "partial 16S ribosomal RNA". It matches the Rfam family "Bacterial small subunit ribosomal RNA", at positions 524 to 776 of the family's 1533-position model. The record is from RNAcentral.
UACGUAGGGUGCGAGCGUUGUCCGGAAUUACUGGGCGUAAAGAGUUCGUAGGCGGUUUGUCGCGUCGUUCGUGAAAACUUGGGGCUUAACUCCAAGCGUGCGGGCGAUACGGGCAGACUUGAGUACUACAGGGGAGACUGGAAUUCCUGGUGUAGCGGUGAAAUGCGCAGAUAUCAGGAGGAACACCGGUGGCGAAGGCGGGUCUCUGGGCCGGAACUGACGCUGAGGAGCGAAAGCCAGGGAGCAAACGGG